AGCGAACGCUGGCGGCAUGCUUAACACAUGCAAGUCGCACGGGCAGGGGUAACUCUGUCAGUGGCGGACGGGUGAGUAACGCGUAGGUAUCUAUCCUUGGGUGGGGGACAACGGUUGGAAACGACUGCUAAUACCGCAUGAUAACUGAGGUUUAAAGGCGCAAGUCGCCUGAGGAGGAGCCUGCGUACGAUUAGCUAGUUGGUGGGGUAAAGGCCUACCAAGGCGACGAUCGUUAGCUGGUCUGAGAGGAUGAUCAGCCACAUUGGGACUGAGACACGGCCCAAACUCCUACGGGAGGCAGCAGUGGGGAAUAUUGGGACAAUGGGCGCAAGCCUGAUCCAGCAAUGCCGCGUGUGUGAAGAAGGUCUUCGGAUUGUAAAGCACUUUCGACGGGGACGAUGAUGACGGUACCCGUAGAGAAGCCCCGGCUAACUCGUGCCAGCAGCCGCAGU
Molecule: ribosomal RNA, 452 nt
Filed under: uncultured bacterium
Lineage: Bacteria
Description: bacterial SSU rRNA
Rfam family: Bacterial small subunit ribosomal RNA
Source: RNAcentral